RNAcentral lists this long non-coding RNA (250 nucleotides) under Malus domestica (apple). RNAcentral's name for it is "long non-coding RNA (MDOM_LNC009295)". Lineage: Eukaryota; Viridiplantae; Streptophyta; Magnoliopsida; Rosales; Rosaceae. The record is from RNAcentral.
GUGCAAUUGAGAAAUGUUAAAUUGGGCAAAAAGGGCCCGUGGAUGUUGAUUUGGGAGGAAAAGGCCCGUGAAUGUUGAUUUGGGGGCAAAAAGGGCCCGUGGGUGUGGAAUUGGGCGAAAUGACCGAUAGAAUGUGGAGAAAUGGUUGAACGGUAACAAAGGCCCAAUAUUUUCGGGAGAAAGCUCCAUGUGUGGGUUGCAAGAACGAACUAUGAAUGUGAUGAGUAUGUGUGGGAAGGUAUAUUUGCUA